GCGGAGGUGGCCAAGCGGCUAAGGCGGUCGGCUGCAACCCGGCUUAUCAUGGGUUCGAGUCCCAUCCUCCGCU
Molecule: transfer RNA, 73 nt
Filed under: Candidatus Aenigmatarchaeota archaeon
Lineage: Archaea; Nanobdellati; Candidatus Aenigmatarchaeota
Description: tRNA-Cys
Rfam family: tRNA
About the family: Transfer RNA (tRNA) molecules are approximately 80 nucleotides in length. Their secondary structure includes four short double-helical elements and three loops (D, anti-codon, and T loops).
Source: RNAcentral